GUUAAUGUAGCUUAAAUUACUAAAGCAAAGCACUGAAAAUGCUUAGAUGGGUUUCUAACCCCAUAAACA
RNAcentral lists this transfer RNA (69 nucleotides) under Echinosorex gymnura. RNAcentral describes it as "tRNA-Phe". It matches the Rfam family "tRNA". Rfam says of the family: Transfer RNA (tRNA) molecules are approximately 80 nucleotides in length. Their secondary structure includes four short double-helical elements and three loops (D, anti-codon, and T loops). The record is from RNAcentral. Lineage: Eukaryota; Metazoa; Chordata; Mammalia; Eulipotyphla; Erinaceidae.